AAAUGGCUUAUAUUUGUACACCA
RNAcentral lists this small nuclear RNA (23 nucleotides) under Arabidopsis thaliana (thale cress). RNAcentral describes it as "snRNA_14027". The record is from RNAcentral. Lineage: Eukaryota; Viridiplantae; Streptophyta; Magnoliopsida; Brassicales; Brassicaceae.